Molecule: ribosomal RNA, 545 nt
Filed under: uncultured fungus
Lineage: Eukaryota; Fungi
Description: partial 28S ribosomal RNA
Rfam family: Eukaryotic large subunit ribosomal RNA
Source: RNAcentral
AGCAUAUCAAUAAGCGGAGGAAAAGAAACCAACAGGGAUUGCCCUAGUAACGGCGAGNGAAGCGGCAACAGCUCAAAUUUGAAAUCNGGCUUCGGCCCGAGUUGUAAUUUGCAGAGGAAGCUUCNGGCGNGGCGCNGUCNGAGUCCCCUGGAACGGGGCGCCAUAGAGGGUGAGAGCCCCGUAUGGAUGGAUGCCUAGCCUGUGUGAAGCUCCUUCGACGAGUCGAGUAGUUUGGGAAUGCUGCUCAAAAUGGGAGGUAAAUUCCUUCUAAAGCUAAAUAUUGGCCAGAGACCGAUAGCGCACAAGUAGAGUGAUCGAAAGAUGAAAAGCACUUUGAAAAGAGGGUUAAAUAGCACGNGAAAUUGUUGAAAGGGAAGCGCUUAUNACCAGACUUGCGCCAGGNUGAUCAUCCGGUGUUCUCACCGGUGCACUCUGCCUGGCUCAGGCCAGCAUCGGUUUCAGNGGGGGGAUAAAGGCNUAGGGAANGUAGNUCCUCCGGGAGUGUUAUAGCCCNGGGNGCAAUGCCCCCGCCGGGACCGAGGUUC